UGGGGAAUCUUGGACAAUGGGGGCAACCCUGAUCCAGCCAUGCCGCGUGAGUGAUGAAGGCCUUAGGGUCGUAAAGCUCUUUCGCCUGUGAAGAUAAUGACGGUAGCAGGUAAAGAAACCCCGGCUAACUCCGUGCCAGCAGCCGCGGUAAUACGGAGGGGGUUAGCGUUGUUCGGAAUUACUGGGCGUAAAGCGCACGUAGGCGGACCAGAAAGUUGGGGGUGAAAUCCCGGGGGCUCAACCCCGGAACUGCCUCCAAAACUAUUGGUCUAGAGUUCGAGAGAGGUGAGUGGAAUUCCAAGUGUAGAGGUGAAAUUCGUAGAUAUUUGGAGGAACACCAGUGGCGAAGGCGGCUCACUGGCUCGAUACUGACGCUGAGGUGCGAAAGUGUGGGGAGCAAAACAGGAUUAGAUACCCUGGUAGUCCACACCGUAAAACGAUGAAUGCCAGUCGUCGGGUAGCAUGCUAUUC
This 471-nucleotide ribosomal RNA is filed under the name uncultured bacterium. RNAcentral's name for it is "bacterial SSU rRNA". It matches the Rfam family "Bacterial small subunit ribosomal RNA", at positions 355 to 841 of the family's 1533-position model. The record is from RNAcentral.